GUAACAAUAUGAUGAUGUGAUUCUGGUCUUUAGGAGAAAAACGGAAUUGCACAAUCAAACUCAGUUCUGGCUGCUUUGGCUUCUAGUGAGAAAAGUAUCAUGAGACUCAUCUAAAGGCUGAUCCUGGUAUCAGGAGUAGUGGGACAACCAGUUAGUUAUUCAUAUCUCCUGGGGUCAUGAAUUCUGAUGUCACAGUAUCACCUGUGAUGCAGUCUAGCCAAAGAUGUUUAACUUGGGUCUAAUCAACAUGUAGAUGUAACUUCCAGGAAAUACAAAGGAGAGAGAAACAAGAUAAAUGACACCGCUGGCAAGCAUGGUGGGAUCUCUAUAGGCCACUGGCCAAGCGGCUGCAAUAAGAAGCUACCCACGAAGACACUGGCGGCUGGAUUAAAAGAUGGAGAGAGAACAACAGCUAGGUGCAAUAAAGGUAACCACGCCUGUGCAGCUCCCAGGAGAUCCAGAUCCACCGAAAGAAGUGCAAUCCUUCCUGACAGGCAGCCUUUCGUGCAGAGAAGAAGGAGCUUCUCCAAUGGUCACAUGAAUAGAAAAUGUUGAAGAGACCUGCCUCUUUCAGAGGAAGGGUAAAUAGAAUUCCAACCACGUUGAAAAACACCUCUCCCCCUGCUUAUUGAAGAAGGAUACUCAGCAACAAUUCAAAAGACUGAGGUCUACAUGUACUGAUGAAGAAUGACCUUCAAGCUUCAUUAUUCAGAAAGCUUCAUGUCCACCAUGCUGUCAGCUCUAUGAGGGCAAGCCUGCCUGAUUCAACAGCUGUGUUCACAGAAUUAUGGCUGGAAAAGCAAAUGUGGGAUAACUAAGUUUGGAUAAAUAAAUGAAUGUGUAA
Molecule: long non-coding RNA, 844 nt
Organism: Callithrix jacchus (white-tufted-ear marmoset)
Lineage: Eukaryota; Metazoa; Chordata; Mammalia; Primates; Cebidae
Source: RefSeq, a predicted model, not a curated record